Molecule: ribosomal RNA, 468 nt
Filed under: uncultured bacterium
Lineage: Bacteria
Description: partial 16S ribosomal RNA
Rfam family: Bacterial small subunit ribosomal RNA
Source: RNAcentral
GACGAACGCUGGCGGCGUGCUUAACACAUGCAAGUCGAACGGAAAGGCGCUGAUCUUGCGGGGUGCUCGAGUGGCGAACGGGUGAGUAACACGUGAGUAACCUGCACUUGACUUUGGGGUAACUUCAGGAAACUGGGGCUCAUACCGGAUAGGAGCUCCUGCUGCAUGGUGGGCGAUGGAAAGUUUCGGCGUUUGUGGCUGGACUCGCGGCUUAUCCGCUUGAUGGUGGGGUAGUGGCUUACCAAGGCUUUGACGGGUAGGCGGCCUGAGAGGGUGGACGGGGACAAUGGGACUGCGAGACGGCCCAGUCUCCUACGGUAGGCAGUAGGGGAGAAUAUUGCAGAGUGGGCGGAAGCCUGAUGCAGCAACGCCGCGUGCGUGAUGACGUCUUUCGGGGUGUAAACCGCUGUCUCCGGUGACGAAGCGUGAGUGACGGUAAUUGGUAAAGAAGCACCGGCUAACUACGUG